GUCAGGAUGGCCGAGCGGUCUAGGCGCAGCGGUGCGUCAGGUCGCGCAGUCUCCCCUGGAGGCGUGGGUUCAAAUCCCACUUCUGACA
Ameiurus melas (black bullhead) is the source of this 88-nucleotide non-coding RNA. The record is from the annotation of a GenBank genome assembly. NCBI's taxonomy places the organism in Eukaryota, Metazoa, Chordata, Actinopteri, Siluriformes, Ictaluridae.